Molecule: ribosomal RNA, 394 nt
Filed under: uncultured bacterium
Lineage: Bacteria
Description: bacterial SSU rRNA
Rfam family: Bacterial small subunit ribosomal RNA
Source: RNAcentral
AACGAACGCUGGCGGCAGGCCUAACACAUGCAAGUCGAGCGAACCCUUCGGGGUUAGCGGCGGACGGGUUAGUAACGCGUGGGAAUAUACCCUUUGGUACGGAAUAGCCUCGGGAAACUGAGAGUAAUACCGUAUGUGCCCUUCGGGGAAGAUUUAUCGCCAAAGGAUUAGCCCGCGUUGGAUUAGAUAGUUGGUGGGGUAAAGGCCUACCAAGGCGACGAUCCGUAGCUGGUCUGAGAGGAUGAUCAGCCACACUGGGACUGAGACACGGCCCAGACUCCUACGGGAGGCAGCAGUGGGGAAUUUUGGACAAUGGGCGAAAGCCUGAUCCAGCCAUGCCGCGUGAGUGAAGAAGGCCUCGGUGUAAGACUCUUCUAGUGGAAGAAAGACGGAU